RNAcentral lists this unclassified non-coding RNA (378 nucleotides) under plant metagenome. RNAcentral's name for it is "partial contains 5.8S ribosomal RNA, internal transcribed spacer 2, and large subunit ribosomal RNA". The stretch from base 1 to 105 matches the Rfam family "5.8S ribosomal RNA", at positions 50 to 154 of the family's 154-position model. The record is from RNAcentral.
GAAAUGCGAUAAGUAAUGUGAAUUGCAGAAUUCGGUGAAUCAUCGAAUAUUUGAACGCACCUUGCGCUCCUUGGUAUUCCUUGGAGCAUGCCUGUUUGAGUAUCAUGAAAUCUUCAAAGUAAAUCUUUUGUUAACUCAAUUGGUUUCUACUUUGGUAUUGGAGGUCUUUGCAGCUUCACACCUGCUCCUCUUUGUUCAUUAGCUGGAUCUCAGUGUUAUGCUUGGUUCCACUCGGCGUGAUAAGUUAUCUAUCGCUGAGGACACUGUAAAAGGUGGCCAAGGUAAAUGCAGAUGAACCGCUUCUAAUAGUCCAUUGACUUGGACAAUACUUUUAUGAUCUGAUCUCAAAUCAGGUAGGACUACCCGCUGAACUUAGGC